UACGAAGGGGGCUAGCGUUGUUCGGAAUCACUGGGCGUAAAGGGUGCGUAGGCGGAUCAAUCAGUCAGGGGUGAAAGCCCGAGGCUCAACCUCGGAACUGCCUUUGAUACUGUUGAUCUUGAGUCCGGAAGAGGUGAGUGGAACUGCGAGUGUAGAGGUGAAAUUCGUAGAUAUUCGCAAGAACACCGGUGGCGAAGGCGGCUCACUGGUCCGGAACUGACGCUGAGGCACGACAGCGUGGGGAGCAAACAGG
This 253-nucleotide ribosomal RNA is filed under the name uncultured bacterium. RNAcentral's name for it is "partial 16S ribosomal RNA". It matches the Rfam family "Bacterial small subunit ribosomal RNA", at positions 524 to 776 of the family's 1533-position model. The record is from RNAcentral.